Molecule: ribosomal RNA, 301 nt
Filed under: uncultured bacterium
Lineage: Bacteria
Description: partial 16S ribosomal RNA
Rfam family: Bacterial small subunit ribosomal RNA
Source: RNAcentral
CAGUAGCCGCGGUAAUACAGAGGGUGCGAGCGUUAAUCGGAUUUACUGGGCGUAAAGCGUGCGUAGGCGGCUAAUUGAGUCGGAUGUGAAAUCCCCGAGCUUAACUUGGGAAUUGCAUUCGAUACUGGUUAGCUAGAGUGUGGGAGAGGAUGGUAGAAUUCCAGGUGUAGCGGUGAAAUGCGUAGAGAUCUGGAGGAAUACCGAUGGCGAAGGCAGCCAUCUGGCCUAACACUGACGCUGAGGUACGAAAGCAUGGGGAGCAAACAGGAUUAGAGACCCCAGUAGUCCCUGUCUCUUAUAC